RNAcentral lists this ribosomal RNA (511 nucleotides) under uncultured bacterium. RNAcentral describes it as "bacterial SSU rRNA". It matches the Rfam family "Bacterial small subunit ribosomal RNA", at positions 29 to 518 of the family's 1533-position model. The record is from RNAcentral.
AACGAACGCUGGCGGCGUGCUUAACACAUGCAAGUCGAACGCGAAAGGGACUUCGGUCCUGAGUAAAGUGGCGCACGGGUGAGUAACGCGUAGAUAACCUGUCUUCAUGUCUGGAAUAAUACGCCGAAAGGGGUACUAAUACCGGAUAUUCUUGCUUUUCAUAAGUUAUGCAAGCAAAGGUGGCCUCUGCAUAUGCUACUGCAUGAGGAGGGGUCUGCGUACCAUUAGCUAGUAGGUGGGGUAAUGGCCUACCUAGGCGACGAUGGUUAGCGGGUCUGAGAGGAUGAUCCGCCACACUGGCACUGGAACACGGGCCAGACUCCUACGGGAGGCAGCAGUGAGGAAUAUUGCGCAAUGGGGGAAACCCUGACGCAGCGACGCCGCGUGAGUGAGGAAAGGCCUUCGGGUCGUAAAGCUCUGUCAAGAGGAAAGAAGUGUACAAUGGCUAAUACCUGUUGUAUUUGACGGUACCUCUAAAGGAAGCACCGGCUAACUCCGUGCCAGCAGCAGC